UACGUAGGGGGCUAGCGUUGUCCGGAUUUAUUGGGCGUAAAGAGCGUGUAGGCGGCCAGGUAGGUCUGGUGUGAAAUCUCGAGGCUCAACUUCGAGCUGUCGGUGGAAACUGUCUGGCUAGAGUCCGGAAGAGGAGAAUGGAAUUCCUGGUGUAGCGGUGAAAUGCGCAGAUAUCAGGAAGAACACCCGUGGCGAAGGCGGUUCUCUGGGACGGUACUGACGCUGAGACGCGAAAGCGUGGGGAGCGAACAGG
RNAcentral lists this ribosomal RNA (253 nucleotides) under uncultured bacterium. RNAcentral describes it as "partial 16S ribosomal RNA". It matches the Rfam family "Bacterial small subunit ribosomal RNA", at positions 524 to 776 of the family's 1533-position model. The record is from RNAcentral.